RNAcentral lists this long non-coding RNA (211 nucleotides) under Elaeis guineensis (African oil palm). Its description in RNAcentral is "long non-coding RNA (EGUI_LNC024728)". Lineage: Eukaryota; Viridiplantae; Streptophyta; Magnoliopsida; Arecales; Arecaceae. The record is from RNAcentral.
AACUCGAUCAGAUGGCCAGAAAGUUGGGACGCAUUAGGGAUGCGGGAUGGAGAAGUUUAACAUAAAAAGGAGUCCUAAUAUGUGAGGAAUCAAGAGAAGGGUCAUAUUUAUGACUUUGGGGGGGCUAUGAAGGCUAUAAAAAAGGGUCCAUAGAGUAGAGAAAAAUAGAAUAGAAAAUUGAGAGAAAAUUAUGGAGUAAAAGAGAGAGAAA